RNAcentral lists this unclassified non-coding RNA (225 nucleotides) under Hevea brasiliensis (rubber tree). The record is from RNAcentral. Lineage: Eukaryota; Viridiplantae; Streptophyta; Magnoliopsida; Malpighiales; Euphorbiaceae.
CGCAUCUAGAUCAUUCUCAAGCCAUCCAGAGAAGCCUUUUCCCUUUUUUACUUCCUAUUUUGGUAUCAAUUUCAAAUAUAAACCUAAUUUAUUAUUUUUGUUUUAUGAUUCCUCCGUGCUGAUCGCUCAUGUGAAGUCUCCGAUUGGGGAUAUAUAAGGACCUCGAUGAAGCACUGAAGAAGUCGUCCCCUGGUUAAGGAAGGGAGGCCAUAGAAGUUUAGAAAG